UACCUGCAGUCGAACGGCAGCACGGGGGCAACCCUGGUGGCGAGUGGCGAACGGGUGAGUAAUACAUCGGAACGUGUCCUGGAGUGGGGGAUAGCCCGGCGAAAGCCGGAUUAAUACCGCAUACGCUCUGAGGAGGAAAGGGGGGGAUCUUAGGACCUCUCGCUUUAGGGGCGGCCGAUGGCAGAUUAGCUAGUUGGUGGGGUAAAGGCCUACCAAGGCGACGAUCUGUAGCUGGUCUGAGAGGACGACCAGCCACACUGGGACUGAGACACGGCCCAGACUCCUACGGGAGGCAGCAGUGGGGAAUUUUGGACAAUGGGGGCAACCCUGAUCCAGCAAUGCCGCGUGUGUGAAGAAGGCCUUCGGGUUGUAAAGCACUUUUGUCCGGAAAGAAAUCAUCCUGGCUAAUAUCCGGGGUGGAUGACGGUACCGGAAGAAUAAGCACCGGCUAACUACGUGCCAGCAGCCGCGGUAAUACGUAGGGUGCAAGCGUUAAUCGGAAUUACUGGGCGUAAAGCGUGCGCAGGCGGUUCGCUAAGACAGAUGUGAAAUCCCCGGGCUUAACCUGGGAACUGCAUUUGUGACUGGCGGGCUAGAGUAUGGCAGAGGGGGGUAGAAUUCCACGUGUAGCAGUGAAAUGCGUAGAGAUGUGGAGGAAUACCGAUGGCGAAGGCAGCCCCCUGGGCCAAUACUGACGCUCAUGCACGAAAGCGUGGGGAGCAAACAGGAUUAGAUACCCUGGUAGUCCACGCCCUAAACGAUGUCAACUAGUUGUCGGGUCUUCAUUGACUUGGUAACGAAGCUAACGCGUGAAGUUGACCGCCUGGGGAGUACGGUCGCAAGAUUAAAACUCAAAGGAAUUGACGGGGACCCGCACAAGCGGUGGAUGAUGUGGAUUAAUUCGAUGCAACGCGAAAAACCUUACCUACCCUUGACAUGGUCAGGACCCUGCUGAAAGGCGGGGGUGCCCGAAAGGGAACUGAUACCCA
RNAcentral lists this ribosomal RNA (989 nucleotides) under uncultured Paraburkholderia sp. Its description in RNAcentral is "bacterial SSU rRNA". It matches the Rfam family "Bacterial small subunit ribosomal RNA", at positions 52 to 1036 of the family's 1533-position model. The record is from RNAcentral. Lineage: Bacteria; Pseudomonadati; Pseudomonadota; Betaproteobacteria; Burkholderiales; Burkholderiaceae.